GAUGAACGCUAGCGGCAGGCUUAAUACAUGCAAGUCGAGGGGCAGCACGGGUAGCAAUAUCUGGUGGCGACCGGCGCACGGGUGCGUAACGCGUAUGCAACCUACCUUUAACUGGGGCAUAGCCCCGAGAAAUCGGGAUUAAUUCCCCAUAUCAUUCCGGUGAGGCAUCUCACUGGGAUGAAAGCUCCGACGGUUAAAGAUGGGCAUGCGUGACAUUAGCUUGUUGGUGAGGUAACGGCUCACCAAGGCUACGAUGUCUAGGGGUUCUGAGAGGAUGAUCCCCCA
This 285-nucleotide ribosomal RNA is filed under the name uncultured Bacteroidota bacterium. RNAcentral describes it as "uncultured Bacteroidetes bacterium partial 16S ribosomal RNA". It matches the Rfam family "Bacterial small subunit ribosomal RNA", at positions 28 to 310 of the family's 1533-position model. The record is from RNAcentral. Lineage: Bacteria; Pseudomonadati; Bacteroidota.